Molecule: ribosomal RNA, 519 nt
Filed under: uncultured bacterium
Lineage: Bacteria
Description: bacterial SSU rRNA
Rfam family: Bacterial small subunit ribosomal RNA
Source: RNAcentral
CUACGUGCCAGCAGCCGCGGUAAUACGUAGGGGGCAAGCGUUAUCCGGAUUUACUGGGUGUAAAGGGAGCGCAGGCGGUUUGGCAAGUUGAGAGUGGAAGCAGGGGGCUCAACCCCCUGACUGCUCCCAAAACUGUUAAACUUGAGUAUGGGAGAGGCAGGCGGAAUUCCUAGUGUAGCGGUGAAAUGCUUAGAUAUUAGGAGGAACACCGGUGGCGAAGGCGGCCUGCUGGACCAAAACUGACGCUGAGGCUCGAAAGCGUGGGUAGCAAACAGGAUUAGAUACCCUGGUAGUCCACGCCGUAAACGAUGAGUGCUAGGUGUUGGGUCCUUUCCGGGACUCAGUGCCGCAGCUAACGCAUUAAGCACUCCGCCUGGGGAGUACGACCGCAAGGUUGAAACUCAAAGGAAUUGACGGGGGCCCGCACAAGCGGUGGAGCAUGUGGUUUAAUUCGAAGCAACGCGAAGAACCUUACCAGGUCUUGACAUCCCUCUGACCGCUCUAGAGAUAGAGCUUUCC